ACACUCCUACGGGAGGCAGCAGUGGGGAAUAUUGCACAAUGGGCGGAAGCCUGAUGCAGCAACGCCGCGUGCGGGAUGACGGCCUUCGGGUUGUAAACCGCUUUCGCCUGUGACGAAGCGUGAGUGACGGUAAUGGGUAAAGAAGCACCGGCUAACUACGUGCCAGCAGCCGCGGUGAUACGUAGGGUGCGAGCGUUGUCCGGAUUUAUUGGGCGUAAAGGGCUCGUAGGUGGUUGAUCGCGUCGGAAGUGUAAUCUUGGGGCUUAACCCUGAGCGUGCUUUCGAUACGGGUUGACUUGAGGAAGGUAGGGGAGAAUGGAAUUCCUGGUGGAGCGGUGGAAUGCGCAGAUAUCAGGAGGAACACCAGUGGCGAAGGCGGUUCUCUGGGCCUUUCCUGACGCUGAGGAGCGAAAGCGUGGGGAGCGAACAGGCUUAGAUACCCCAGUAGUCCCAUGA
This 456-nucleotide ribosomal RNA is filed under the name uncultured organism. Its description in RNAcentral is "partial 16S ribosomal RNA". It matches the Rfam family "Bacterial small subunit ribosomal RNA", at positions 333 to 800 of the family's 1533-position model. The record is from RNAcentral.